AUGCAGAAGCUCAAUGCAAAACUACUAAAGCUAGAGGAACUUGAGAGCCAGCGAGCUGCCGACCAACCAUCUCAACGGCACGAAGCUACCCCAGAAGCUACCCCGCCAUCUCAGUGGAGAAGCAGCGUGGCUUCCACGGAGCUCCUUCAGCCCGACUUCACGGCUCCUAGCUACCCCAUGGAUACUAUCACGGAUGCUCAACAUUGCCAGCUUAUGACGAAAUGGCAGAACCUCACUUUGAAGGCGGUUGUCGGCUCUAUUGCACCUCCUCAACCUGACGGAACUUUUCACUGCCGUCCAAUUCCACAUGGCUAUGUUUUUAUGACAGUGGAUGAAGUAAUGGAGGGAUUUGAGGAGCUCGAGCUUGACCACCCUACAGGUGAAGGGGAGAAUCAGCUGGUUUAUGCUCUGAGGAGUACAUGUCUAUGGCGGAAGGAGUACAUCAAGCUUCCAAACUGGACGCCUCCGCCUCCUCCUCCUCCUCCUCCGGCGAGUCAGGGCACUCCGCCUCCUCCGAUGAGUGAUCAGGGCACUCCGCCUCCUUCUCCGGCUGGUCCAGCGUGUGAGGGCACUCCGCUCCUCCUUCGCCUCCUCCGGCGCAUCGGUGCAGUCCGCCUCCUCCUCCGCCUCGUCAGCAACGGUGGAAGACAGACGUCGCCGCUUCGGCUCCUCCACUACGUUAGAGCACUCCGCCUCCUUCUCCGCCUCAUCAGCAACGACGGAAGAGAGACGCCACCGCACCGGCGGCUAGCAGUACAAGGAGAGGCGGGAGGAAAUUCAGAUACGGUCCAUCUCUCAAGCCUUUGGAAAAGUUACCAUAUGAGAGGACCGAGAAGGAAAACGAGGAGAUCUCUGUUGCCCAAGUGA
RNAcentral lists this ribosomal RNA (867 nucleotides) under Triticum aestivum (bread wheat). RNAcentral's name for it is "partial small subunit ribosomal RNA". Lineage: Eukaryota; Viridiplantae; Streptophyta; Magnoliopsida; Poales; Poaceae. The record is from RNAcentral.